GAUGAACGCUGGCGGCGUGCCUAAUACAUGCAAGUCGAGCGAACGGACGAGAAGCUUGCUUCUCUGAUGUUAGCGGCGGACGGGUGAGUAACACGUGGAUAACCUACCUAUAAGACUGGGAUAACUUCGGGAAACCGGAGCUAAUACCGGAUAAUAUUUUGAACCGCAUGGUUCAAAAGUGAAAGACGGUCUUGCUGUCACUUAUAGAUGGAUCCGCGCUGCAUUAGCUAGUUGGUAAGGUAACGGCUUGCCAAGGCAACGAUGCAUAGCCGACCUGAGAGGGUGAUCGGCCACACUGGAACUGAGACACGGUCCAGACUCCUACGGGAGGCAGCAGUAGGGAAUCUUCCGCAAUGGGCGAAAGCCUGACGGAGCAACGCCGCGUGAGUGAUGAAGGUCUUCGGAUCGUAAAACUCUGUUAUUAGGGAAGAACAUAUGUGUAAGUAGCUGUGCACAUCUUGACGGUACCUAAUCAGAAAGCCACGGCUAACUACGUG
Molecule: ribosomal RNA, 497 nt
Filed under: uncultured bacterium
Lineage: Bacteria
Description: partial 16S ribosomal RNA
Rfam family: Bacterial small subunit ribosomal RNA
Source: RNAcentral